RNAcentral lists this small nucleolar RNA (205 nucleotides) under Cebus imitator (Panamanian white-faced capuchin). RNAcentral's name for it is "Small nucleolar RNA U3 (ENSCCAG00000004776.1)". It matches the Rfam family "Small nucleolar RNA U3". Rfam says of the family: Small nucleolar RNAs (snoRNAs) are involved in the processing and modification of rRNA in the nucleolus. Lineage: Eukaryota; Metazoa; Chordata; Mammalia; Primates; Cebidae. The record is from Rfam by way of RNAcentral.
AAGACUAUACUUUGAGGGAUAAUUUCUAAGGUAUGUUACUACAGGCGUUUCUCUGAACAUGUGGGACUGGAAACCGGGAAGAGAAGGUACAGUGUUCUCUGCUUAGUGUGAAACAGACCUUUGGUGUUGCUUUGCUGCAACUGCCAUUUGCCCUGGGUGAUUCUUCUCUUCCUCCUGGAGAGUAAGAGGACACAGUCUGAGUGGU